GUGUCAGCCGCCGCGGUAAUACGUAGGUGGCGAGCGUUGUCCGGAAUUACUGGGUGUAAAGGGCGUGUAGGCGGGACUGCAAGUCAGAUGUGAAAGCCCAGGGCUUAACCCUGGAGUUGCAUCUGAAACUGUGGUUCUUGAGUGCUGGAGAGGGAAGCGGAAUUCCUAGUGUAGCGGUGAAAUGCGUAGAUAUUAGGAGGAACACCAGUGGCGAAGGCGGCUUUCUGGACAGUAACUGACGCUGAGGCGCGAAAGCGUGGGGAGCAAACAGGAUUAGAUACCCUGGUAGUCCACGCCGUAAACGAUGGAUACUAGGUGUAGGAGGUAUCGACCCCUUCUGUGCCGGAGUUAACACAAUAAGUAUCCCACCUGGGGAGUACGGCCGCAAGGUUGAAACUCAAAGAAAUUGACGG
RNAcentral lists this ribosomal RNA (413 nucleotides) under uncultured bacterium. RNAcentral describes it as "bacterial SSU rRNA". It matches the Rfam family "Bacterial small subunit ribosomal RNA", at positions 505 to 916 of the family's 1533-position model. The record is from RNAcentral.